AGCGAACGCUGGCGGCAGGCUUAACACAUGCAAGUCGAACGGGCGUAGCAAUGCGUCAGUGGCAGACGGGUGAGUAACGCGUGGGAACGUACCUUUUGGUUCGGAACAACCCAGGGAAACUUGGGCUAAUACCGGAUAAGCCCUUACGGGGAAAGAUUUAUCGCCGAAAGAUCGGCCCGCGUCUGAUUAGCUAGUUGGUGUGGUAACGGCGCACCAAGGCGACGAUCAGUAGCUGGUCNGAGAGGAUGAUCAGCCACAUUGGGACUGAGACACGGCCCAAACUCCUACGGGAGGCAGCAGUCGGGAAUUUUGGGCAAUGGGCGAAAGCCUGACCAGCAACGCCGCGUGAAGGAUGAAGUAUUUCGGUAU
This 369-nucleotide ribosomal RNA is filed under the name uncultured bacterium. Its description in RNAcentral is "bacterial SSU rRNA". It matches the Rfam family "Bacterial small subunit ribosomal RNA", at positions 29 to 424 of the family's 1533-position model. The record is from RNAcentral.